This 330-nucleotide ribosomal RNA is filed under the name uncultured eukaryote. RNAcentral describes it as "partial 18S ribosomal RNA". It matches the Rfam family "Eukaryotic small subunit ribosomal RNA", at positions 1470 to 1796 of the family's 1831-position model. The record is from RNAcentral.
CCCUUAGAUGUUCUGGGCCGCACGCGCGCUACACUGAUACGUUCAACGAGUUUAUAACCUUGAUUGAUAGGUCUGGGUAAUCUUUUGAAUGCGUAUCGUGCUGGGGAUAGAUUAUUGCAAUUAUUAAUCUUGAACGAGGAAUUCCUAGUAAACGCAAGUCAUCAGCUUGCAUUGAUUACGUCCCUGCCCCUUGUACACACCGCCCGUCGCUGCCCGGAACUGAGCCGUUUCGAGAAAGCCGGGGACUGACGGCUUGUGGGUGCGCAAGCGCUUCUUGCCGAUGGAAACCAGUUUAAUCGGUAUGGCUUGAACCGGGCAAAAGUCGUAACA